UGCCCCAUGGCUGAGUUGGUUACAGCGUCCGACUGUUAUCGCAUGUGCACUGUUCUGUGAAAUGACAUCGGAAGGUCGUGAGUUCGAGCCUCACUGGGGCAG
The sequence is a transfer RNA, 102 nucleotides long. It matches the Rfam family "tRNA". From Rfam's summary of the family: Transfer RNA (tRNA) molecules are approximately 80 nucleotides in length. The record is from Rfam.